UACGGAGGAUGCGAGCGUUAUCCGGAUUUAUUGGGUUUAAAGGGUGCGUAGGCGGUUAUUCAAGUCUGUGGUGAAAAGUCUGAGCUUAACUUAGAUCGUGCCAUGGAAACUGAUUAUCUUGAAUGAGGUUGCCGUUGGCGGAAUGUGUAGUGUAGCGGUGAAAUGCUUAGAUAUUACACAGAACACCGAUUGCGAAGGCAGCUGACGAAACCUUGAUUGACGCUGAUGCACGAAAGUGCGGGUAUCGAAC
This 250-nucleotide ribosomal RNA is filed under the name uncultured prokaryote. Its description in RNAcentral is "partial 16S ribosomal RNA". It matches the Rfam family "Bacterial small subunit ribosomal RNA", at positions 524 to 773 of the family's 1533-position model. The record is from RNAcentral.